CUAACACAUGCAAGUCGAGCGGAUGAAGAGAGCUUGCUCUCUGAUUCAGCGGCGGACGGGUGAGUAAUGCCUAGGAAUCUGCCUGGUAGUGGGGGACAACGUCUCGAAAGGGACGCUAAUACCGCAUACGUCCUACGGGAGAAAGCAGGGGACCUUCGGGCCUUGCGCUAUCAGAUGAGCCUAGGUCGGAUUAGCUAGUUGGUGAGGUAAUGGCUCACCAAGGCGACGAUCCGUAACUGGUCUGAGAGGAUGAUCAGUCACACUGGAACUGAGACACGGUCCAGACUCCUACGGGAGGCAGCAGUGGGGAAUAUUGGACAAUGGGCGAAAGCCUGAUCCAGCCAUGCCGCGUGUGUGAAGAAGGUCUUCGGAUUGUAAAGCACUUUAAGUUGGGAGGAAGGGUUGUAGAUUAAUACUCUGCAAUUUUGACGUUACCGACAGAAUAAGCACCGGCUAACUCUGUGCCAGCAGCCGCGGUAAUACAGAGGGUGCAAGCGUUAAUCGGAAUUACUGGGCGUAAAGCGCGCGUAGGUGGUUUGUUAAGUUGGAUGUGAAAGCCCCGGGCUCAACCUGGGAACUGCAUUCAAAACUGACAAGCUAGAGUAUGGUAGA
This 612-nucleotide ribosomal RNA is filed under the name gamma proteobacterium TH-S53. RNAcentral describes it as "bacterial SSU rRNA". It matches the Rfam family "Bacterial small subunit ribosomal RNA", at positions 48 to 655 of the family's 1533-position model. Lineage: Bacteria; Pseudomonadati; Pseudomonadota; Gammaproteobacteria. The record is from RNAcentral.